AACCCCAAACCCAAAACCCAAAACCCAAAACCCCAAACCCCAAACCCCAAACCCCUAAACCCUAAACCCUAAACCCAAAACCCUAAAACCCUAAACCCUAAACCCUAAACCCCUAACCAACUUUCUCUCUCUAGCCCAAAACGCUCUCCCUUCUCUCUAGAAUGGGAGACAAACCACAAACCUUCAAGAAUCUUAACCCACCACCCGAUAUACCACCUUUACCCGGUGGAUUUGAACCCCAAACAAUCCCAGAGGAUCAGCAAAAUCAAGAUUUAACAGUUUUGGAAGUAAUUGGAUUGAAUUCUGGUAAGAACAAUGGUGGCACGUUUUCCAAUGUCAUCAAAACUUCAUCUUCUGCAGCGAUUCAGGGUUUGGGACCCUCACCAAUGAUUCCAGAAGGGCCGAAAACCCUAGGGGUGGUAGAGAUUUCGUCCGAAUCGCCCGAAAUUGACAGAUCAAAUCCCGAGGGGCCGAAAACUGAUUUUUCAAUUAAUCCUUCCACAGAGCUCAAACAGGGACACGCGCCUCACCAUCAGAUUACCCAUGAAAAGGCGAACCUUCGACUAAAAAAUCAUCCAAAUCCGACGUCGGACGCGCCCGCACCGGCGAUCGCAAGUUCCGGCCAGUCGCUCGGAAAAUCACAGAUUCCGGCCAAUCCUGAACUCAUUUCGGAAAACGGAACAUACCGUGAUGAUCAGCAUGAAAUUCCGCAUCUUCCUGUGAAAAAUCAUAAUUUUCUGACACCAUUGGAAAAUCGCCGCCGGUCAACGGCCGGUCAACGGCCGGCGCGUGGUGGUCACGCGCCGGUGACCCUUCAGCAGAAUGUGGGGAAUUUUGUUACGGACCCAAUUCCAUCAUCGGAUUUACCACGGGAGGUCCCUACAGUAACUAAUCAAGCUAGGAAGUCAUAUGCGGCUGCACUUUCCGGUAAAUCUGUAGUCUCUCAAGCUGAGCGCAG
RNAcentral lists this long non-coding RNA (958 nucleotides) under Olea europaea subsp. europaea. The record is from RNAcentral. Lineage: Eukaryota; Viridiplantae; Streptophyta; Magnoliopsida; Lamiales; Oleaceae.